RNAcentral lists this ribosomal RNA (493 nucleotides) under uncultured bacterium. RNAcentral describes it as "bacterial SSU rRNA". It matches the Rfam family "Bacterial small subunit ribosomal RNA", at positions 375 to 880 of the family's 1533-position model. The record is from RNAcentral.
GCGCAAGCCUGAUGCAGCAACGCCGCGUGAGGGAUGACGGCCUCGGUUGUAACUCUUUAGUAGGAGAAGACCGCAAGGUGACGGUACCUGCAGAAAAAGACACCGGCUAACUACGUGCCAGCAGCCGCGGUAAUACGUAGGGUGCAAGCGUUGUCCGGAAUUAUUGGGCGUAAAGAGCUCGUAGGCGGCUUGUCGCGUCUGCUGUGAAAACCCGGGGCUCAACCCCGGGCCUGCAGUGGGUACGGGCAGGCUAGAGUGCGGUAGGGGAGAUUGGAAUUCCUGGUGUAGCGGUGGAAUGCGCAGAUAUCAGGAGGAACACCGAUGGCGAAGGCAGAUCUCUGGGCCGUAACUGACGCUGAGGAGCGAAAGCAUGGGGGAGCGAACAGGAUUAGAUACCCUGGUAGUCCAUGCCGUAAACGUUGGGAACUAGAUGUAGGGCCUGUUCCACGGGUUCUGUGUCGUAGCUAACGCAUUAAGUUCCCCGCCUGGGGAG